CUGACAGAAUGCUUAACACAUGCAAGUCGACUCGAGUCUUCGGACUUGGGUGGCGCACGGGUGAGUAACGCGUAAAGAACUUGCCUCUUAGACCGGGACAACAUCUGGAAACGGAUGCUAAUACCGGAUAUUAUGGUUUUUUCGCAUGGAGGAAUCAUGAAAGCUAGAUGCGCUAAGAGAGAGCUUUGCGUCCCAUUAGCUAGUUGGUGAGGUAACGGCCCACCAAGGCAAUGAUGGGUAGCCGGCCUGAGAGGGUGAACGGCCACAAGGGGACUGAGACACGGCCCUUACUCCUACGGGAGGCAGCAGUGGGGAAUAUUGGACAAUGGACCACAAGUCUGAUCCAGCAAUUCUGUGUGCACGAUGACGUUUUUCGGAAUGUAAAGUGCUUUCAGUCGGGAAGAAGUCAGUGACGGUACCGACAGAAGAAGCGACGGCUAAAUACGUGCCAGCAGCCGCGGUAAUACGUAUGUCGCAAGCGUUAUCCGGAUUUAUUGGGCGUAAAGCGCGUCUAGGCGGCAAGGAAAGUCUGAUGUGAAAAUGCGGAGCUCAACUCCGUAUGGCGUUGGAAACUGCCUUACUAGAGUACUGGAGAGGUAGGCGGAACUACAAGUGUAGAGGUGAAAUUCGUAGAUAUUUGUAGGAAUGCCGAUGGGGAAGCCAGCCUACUGGACAGAUACUGACGCUAAAGCGCGAAAGCGUGGGUAGCAAACAGG
Molecule: ribosomal RNA, 716 nt
Filed under: uncultured Fusobacteriota bacterium
Lineage: Bacteria; Fusobacteriati; Fusobacteriota
Description: bacterial SSU rRNA
Rfam family: Bacterial small subunit ribosomal RNA
Source: RNAcentral